CACUCGGCCAGGCGCCGGCGACCUGAGGGGAGAGGGAGCGCAGCUGAAAGCGUGAACUGUGAGAUGCUUUUGACAAGUUAUAAUAAGGGAGAGAUGGUAGUAAAGGAAGUGAAGAAGCGACGUGAAAUUGAAGGAAAAGAAAAUGACCUGCCUCCUUACCGCGGUUGGAAUACACACCCAAACGAGAGGUAGCAGAGAAGCAAGCAGUGCAUUCUGUUAAAAAUUAUUGUGUCCUCAUUUGAGAGAGGAGGGAUCCUCAAAUAAUACAACUAUGUGCAAAGCAGGAAGUGAAAUCCUUCUCAGUCCUCUCCCCAGUUGUAAUCCAAGCCUUCCACAUCUUUCCUGUAUGUGCAUAACCAUGUUAUUUUGCUUUCUUAUGAAAAUGAGAUUAUGCAUACUGUUCGAUAAUCUGUUUCAGAUUAAAUAU
This 427-nucleotide small RNA is filed under the name Pan troglodytes (chimpanzee). Its description in RNAcentral is "retained intron". The record is from RNAcentral. Lineage: Eukaryota; Metazoa; Chordata; Mammalia; Primates; Hominidae.